UAAUACCGAAUACGCUUGCACAGGUGAAGCUGUGUAAGGAAAGGUGCUACGGCAUCGGCCUAAAGAUGAGCCUGCGUCCCAUUAGCUAGUUGGUGAGGUAAGAGCCCACCAAGGCGAUGAUGGGUAGCCGGCCUGAGAGGGUGUACGGCCACACUGGGACUGAGAUACGGCCCAGACUCCUACGGGAGGCAGCAGCUAAGAAUAUUCCGCAAUGGACGAAAGUCUGACGGAGCGACGCCGCGUGGAUGAAGAAGGCCGAAAGGUUGUAAAAUCCUUUUGCUGGGGAAGAAUAAGUCUGGGAGGGAAUGCCCGGAUGAUGACAUGAACCGGCGAAUAAGCCCCGGCCAACUACGUGCCAGCAGCCGCGGUAACACGUAGGGGGCGAGCGUUGUUCGGAAUUACUGGGCGUAAAGGGCAUGUAGGCGGUUUUGUAAGCUUGGCGUGAAAGUCCACGGCUCAACUGUGGGAUAGCGUUGAGAACUGCGAAGCUUGAGUUAUGGAGAGGGAGCUAGAAUUCCUGGUGUAGGGGUGGAAUCUGUAGAGAUCAGGAAGAAUACCAAUGGCGAAGGCAAGCUCCUGGCCGAUGACUGACGCUGAGGUGCGAAAGUGUGGGGAUCAAACAGGAUUAGAUACCCUGGUAGUCCACACUGUAAACGAUGUGCACUAGGUGCUGGGGCGGAUGCCUCAGAGCCGAAGCGAACGCGAUAAGUGCACCGCCUGGGGAGUAUGCUUGCAAGGGUGAAACUCAAAGGAAUUGACGG
This 761-nucleotide ribosomal RNA is filed under the name uncultured bacterium. RNAcentral's name for it is "bacterial SSU rRNA". It matches the Rfam family "Bacterial small subunit ribosomal RNA", at positions 164 to 916 of the family's 1533-position model. The record is from RNAcentral.